UGCAAGUUGUGUGGUCCGUGA
RNAcentral lists this non-coding RNA (21 nucleotides) under Arabidopsis thaliana (thale cress). The record is from RNAcentral. Lineage: Eukaryota; Viridiplantae; Streptophyta; Magnoliopsida; Brassicales; Brassicaceae.